This 310-nucleotide unclassified non-coding RNA is filed under the name plant metagenome. RNAcentral describes it as "partial contains 5.8S ribosomal RNA, internal transcribed spacer 2, and large subunit ribosomal RNA". The stretch from base 1 to 105 matches the Rfam family "5.8S ribosomal RNA", at positions 50 to 154 of the family's 154-position model. The record is from RNAcentral.
GAAAUGCGAUAAGUAGUGUGAAUUGCAGAAUUCAGUGAAUCAUCGAAUCUUUGAACGCACAUUGCGCCCCUUGGUAUUCCAUGGGGCAUGCCUGUUCGAGCGUCAUUUGUACCCUCAAGCUCUGCUUGGUGUUGGGUGUUUGACCCCGUCUCCGCGCGUGGACUCGCCCCAAAGUGAUUGGCAGCCGGCGUACUGGUCCCGGAGCGCAGCACAUGUCGCGCAACCGAGUGCCUUGGUACGGCGGCGUCCAUAAGCCCCUCUCUCACGCUCUUGACCUCGGAUCAGGUAGGGAUACCCGCUGAACUUAAGC